RNAcentral lists this ribosomal RNA (622 nucleotides) under uncultured bacterium. Its description in RNAcentral is "bacterial SSU rRNA". It matches the Rfam family "Bacterial small subunit ribosomal RNA", at positions 393 to 1008 of the family's 1533-position model. The record is from RNAcentral.
AAUGCCGCGUGAGUGAAGAAGGCCUUCGGGUUGUAAAGCUCUUUUGUCAGGGAAGAAACGGUGAUUUCUAAUACAGAUUGCUAAUGACGGUACCUGAAGAAUAAGCACCGGCUAACUACGUGCCAGCAGCCGCGGUAAUACGUAGGGUGCAAGCGUUAAUCGGAAUUACUGGGCGUAAAGCGUGCGCAGGCGGUUAUGUAAGACAGAUGUGAAAUGCCCGGGCUCAACCUGGGAACUGCAUUUGUGACUGCAUGGCUAGAGUGUGUCAGAGGGGGGUAGAAUUCCACGUGUAGCAGUGAAAUGCGUAGAUAUGUGGAGGAAUACCGAUGGCGAAGGCAGCCCCCUGGGAUAACACUGACGCUCAUGCACGAAAGCGUGGGGAGCAAACAGGAUUAGAUACCCUGGUAGUCCACGCCCUAAACGAUGUCAACUAGUUGUCGGGUCUUAAUUGACUUGGUAACGCAGCUAACGCGUGAAGUUGACCGCCUGGGGAGUACGGUCGCAAGAUUAAAACUCAAAGGAAUUGACGGGGACCCGCACAAGCGGUGGAUGAUGUGGAUUAAUUCGAUGCAACGCGAAAAACCUUACCUACCCUUGACAUGGAUGGAAUCCCGAAGAGAUU